GUAACUGCACAGACACACAAAAUGAUUAGCAUUAAGGAUAAUAAAAACAAAUUCUCAGGUAUGGCAUGAUUUGCUAUACUUGUGUUAUUACAGCAUCCAGGCCUCCCUGUCCCCAGGCGUAGUCUCCCGGAUUGGAAUGCAGCAUGCCUGUCCUGGAGAGCCACAAAGACCAUUUGUUGACAGUCACAUCGUCAUACCAAAUGACAUCCGGACAGCGCUCGAAGGUGAUGUCAACCUACCCUUCGACAGCGGGCGAGCGGUCGGGCCUGCUGCUGACUCUGGACCGAUGCCUCCUCUGGGUGUGUAGGCGCGGGGGUCGUGCCGGGCCCCAGUGGUCGCCGGCGCCUAGCGAACCCGCCAUGGGCCCCCCGAGGCCAGCGGGGACCGAGCCCCCGAUGGGUCCGCUUGCGAAACCCCCGAAGUCGCCAAGCCCGGCCAGGCGCCCGCCGGGGAGCCGUGGUUCCGAGUCGGGGUUGUCGCCGUCGAUGGAAAAGGGCCGCUCCAUUAACAGCAGGUGCCAAAGCUGCGAGGGUGACGACAAAACAACACGGGAGGCUGUCACUCAGUUAAGACAAGUACCUCUGCAAACUGAUUGGUUGUGUCAUCUAGUCCGUUGGCGUCUCCCUCUAAGAGGCUGCUGGAAUUACAGACAAAAAAAAAUGACAGCUCAUCACGAGAUGUAACCCAUCGAAUGAGUCACGGCUCUUACCUGGAAUCUUCCGUCACUUCCUCGAUGAAGCCCGACUCGCAGCGAGGACAGAUAUACUCCUUGAAAAGGUUAGAGUGCAUAGUUUUAAGAUUUAUGACAGAAUGAUAAAAUUAUACACAAUUUCUUUUCGGCCUGUUAAAAUUUCUUCUGAUUGAUGAUUUCAGAAUGUGUCCCAGGAAGACGUCUGACGUGCAUACAGAUGGACUUGUACUGUGUUUGUGUGUUACAUUUCCGCCAUAAUGUUGAUGCCAGUGCGAGUCAGCAGUCAGAGAUGGUUGGGGUGUCCUCCUCGUAAGUCAUCUACGCUAUUAUUGAACAAUGACACGGAGACGUGGAUGUCACUUGGCUUGGAAAAGCCACAGGUUCCAGCAGUGUCCACGUGAGACAAGCAGGCUGGAAUUAACCUCACAACUGCUCAGUCAGGUGUAAGCGGAGUCCCCUAAUACCUCAGCAGCAGUCAAAUAAAAUCAUUAUGCAAAAUGUAGGCGGUGGCAGCCGCUUCUGGUUGAGCAACAACGCAAGGAUACAGGUGUCAUCAUCUUCUUUUCGCCUUUGGGGCAAAGUCCAAGGUGCGCAAAGUGCUUUGCUACACACAAAUUUCGUCCGCAGCCCGGCAAAUCUAUUCAUCAUGAUUUGUCUUUGUCAUAAAUUGUCUUUUCAUUGUGUUGUCCGCAUUCAUCUGUUUUUUUCUGACACGUAAACGUUCUUGAAUCUAAAACUGAAUUAUGGCUGGGUGAUUAAUCAAUUAAUUAGCAUUUGUUUGUCAGCAUAGAUGUACUUUUAGCGGCAUUCCAUAUUGUUUGGAUCUAAUUUUAAAAUAGGAAUGUCAAUUUGAGAUCAGAGAAAAUUUACUAUAAUGAAUGAAUAAAAUAUAAUUGCUAAUUGUGUCAGUGGUGGCGAGAAACCUUUUUAUUAAGGGACAUUUUGGUUUACUUACAGUAAAGCCAGUGUUUCGAGUUUUUUUCCACCAAGUCCAACUAAGACACAAACUGCAUUUGAAUGUUUCAAUUUAAAUAUAUUACACAUUAAAUGCAACUGUAAUGAUCGGAGGAAUACAAAUGAACUUUGGCA
Molecule: long non-coding RNA, 1780 nt
Organism: Syngnathus acus (greater pipefish)
Lineage: Eukaryota; Metazoa; Chordata; Actinopteri; Syngnathiformes; Syngnathidae
Exons: 5
Source: RefSeq, a predicted model, not a curated record